This 330-nucleotide ribosomal RNA is filed under the name uncultured eukaryote. Its description in RNAcentral is "partial 18S ribosomal RNA". It matches the Rfam family "Eukaryotic small subunit ribosomal RNA", at positions 1470 to 1796 of the family's 1831-position model. The record is from RNAcentral.
CCCUUAGAUGUUCUGGGCCGCACGCGCGCUACACUGAGCCCUUCAUCGAGUUUACAACCUUGGCCGGUAGGUCUGGGUAAUCUUCUCAAAGGGGCUCGUGCUGGGGAUAGAUUAUUGUAAUUUUUAAUCUUCAACGAGGAAUUCCUAGUAAACGCAAGUCAACAGCUUGCAUUGAUUACGUCCCUGCCCUUUGUACACACCGCCCGUCGCUACUACCGAUUGAAUGGCUUAGUGAGCCCGAGGGACUGUUGCACCUAGAGGGUUUUCUCUCCAGGAGCAGCCGGGAACUCGGUCAAACUUGAUCAUUUAGAGGAAGGAGAAGUCGUAACA